AUAUUUACUUGGCAGAGGAAAUACCAUGAUCACGAAGGUAAUUUUCCCAGGGUGAGGCUUAUCCAUUGCACUCCAGAUGUGCUGACCCCUGUGAUUUCCCCAAAUGUGGUAGUGGGGGGUUGCGUUUGCACCCCCAG
Molecule: small nuclear RNA, 137 nt
Organism: Mesocricetus auratus (golden hamster)
Lineage: Eukaryota; Metazoa; Chordata; Mammalia; Rodentia; Cricetidae
Gene: U1
Rfam family: U1 spliceosomal RNA
About the family: U1 is a small nuclear RNA (snRNA) component of the spliceosome (involved in pre-mRNA splicing). Its 5' end forms complementary base pairs with the 5' splice junction, thus defining the 5' donor site of an intron. There are significant differences in sequence and secondary structure between metazoan and yeast U1 snRNAs, the latter being much longer (568 nucleotides as compared to 164 nucleotides in human).
Source: Ensembl